AAAGACCUUAUGUUUUUGGAGCGGCCGAUGUCUGAUUAGCUAGUUGGUAAGGUAAUGGCUUACCAAGGCAACGAUCAGUAGUUGGUCUGAGAGGACGACCAGCCACACUGGGACUGAGACACGGCCCAGACUCCUACGGGAGGCAGCAGUGGGGAAUUUUGGACAAUGGGCGCAAGCCUGAUCCAGCAAUGCCGCGUGAGUGAAGAAGGCCUUCGGGUUGUAAAGCUCUUUCAGUUGAGAAGAAAAGAUUGUGACUAAUAAUUGCAAUUCAUGACGGUAUCAACAGAAGAAGCACCGGCUAACUACGUGCCAGCAGCCGCGGUAAUACGUAGGGUGCGAGCGUUAAUCGGAGUUACUGGGCGUAAAGGGUGCGCAGGCGGUUCUCUAAGUCAGAUAUAAAUCCCCGGGCUUAACCUGGGAACUG
Molecule: ribosomal RNA, 424 nt
Filed under: uncultured Nitrosomonas sp.
Lineage: Bacteria; Pseudomonadati; Pseudomonadota; Betaproteobacteria; Nitrosomonadales; Nitrosomonadaceae
Description: bacterial SSU rRNA
Rfam family: Bacterial small subunit ribosomal RNA
Source: RNAcentral